RNAcentral lists this ribosomal RNA (632 nucleotides) under Nocardioides sp. Ri1Pw_5491. RNAcentral describes it as "bacterial SSU rRNA". It matches the Rfam family "Bacterial small subunit ribosomal RNA", at positions 382 to 1011 of the family's 1533-position model. Lineage: Bacteria; Bacillati; Actinomycetota; Actinomycetes; Propionibacteriales; Nocardioidaceae. The record is from RNAcentral.
CCUGAUCCAGCAACGCCGCGUGGGGGAUGACGGCCUUCGGGUUGUAAACCUCUUUCAGCACAGACGAAGUCGCGGCUUUUGUCGUGGUGACGGUAUGUGUAGAAGAAGCACCGGCCAACUACGUGCCAGCAGCCGCGGUAAUACGUAGGGUGCGAGCGUUGUCCGGAAUUAUUGGGCGUAAAGGGCUCGUAGGCGGUUUGUCGCGUCGGGAGUGAAAACCGGGUGCUUAACACCUGGCUUGCUUUCGAUACGGGCUGACUUGAGGGAUGCAGGGGAGAACGGAAUUCCUGGUGUAGCGGUGAAAUGCGCAGAUAUCAGGAGGAACACCGGUGGCGAAGGCGGUUCUCUGGGCAUUACCUGACGCUGAGGAGCGAAAGUGUGGGGAGCGAACAGGAUUAGAUACCCUGGUAGUCCACACCGUAAACGUUGGGCGCUAGGUGUGGGAUCCAUUCCACGGGUUCCGUGCCGUAGCUAACGCAUUAAGCGCCCCGCCUGGGGAGUACGGCCGCAAGGCUAAAACUCAAAGGAAUUGACGGGGGCCCGCACAAGCGGCGGAGCAUGCGGAUUAAUUCGAUGCAACGCGAAGAACCUUACCUGGGUUUGACAUACAUCCUGCCGCCUCAGAGAUGGGG